RNAcentral lists this unclassified non-coding RNA (289 nucleotides) under Hevea brasiliensis (rubber tree). The record is from RNAcentral. Lineage: Eukaryota; Viridiplantae; Streptophyta; Magnoliopsida; Malpighiales; Euphorbiaceae.
CACAGCAAUUGUGAAGAGGUAGACGGAGAAGGCGAAGAAGAAGAAGAGGAGAGAGAAAAUCUGCCGCCGCCGCCAUCACCACCGCCGUCGUCGUCGUCGUCGUUGCGGUGGAGUCUCUUUCUAAAACCCUCAUAGAUUCAUCUAAUCGAGAUCAAUAUUUGUUUGGACAUUGGAUGGAUUGAUUUUGUGUGGCUGAUUAACUGGAUAGUUCAACUACGGAGUAAGGUUUGUUUGAAGUUGUGUGUACGAGCGGAAGAGUGUAAAGAUGGAUUUGGUUGCUAGCUGCAAG